This 439-nucleotide ribosomal RNA is filed under the name uncultured bacterium. RNAcentral's name for it is "partial 16S ribosomal RNA". It matches the Rfam family "Bacterial small subunit ribosomal RNA", at positions 339 to 795 of the family's 1533-position model. The record is from RNAcentral.
CUACGGGUGGCAGCAGUGGGGAAUAUUGCACAAUGGACGAAAGUCUGAUGCAGCAACGCCGCGUGGAGGAUGACACAUUUCGGUGCGUAAACUCCUUUUAUAUAGGAAGAUAAUGACGGUACUAUAUGAAUAAGCACCGGCUAACUCCGUGCCAGCAGCCGCGGUAAUACGGAGGGUGCAAGCGUUACUCGGAAUCACUGGGCGUAAAGAGCGUGUAGGCGGAUAGAUAAGUCAGGAGUGAAGUCCUAUGGCUCAACCAUAGAACUGCUCUUGAAACUGUCAAUCUAGAGUGUGGGAGAGGUAGAUGGAAUUUCUGGUGUAGGGGUAAAAUCCGUAGAGAUCAGAAGGAAUACCGAUUGCGAAGGCGAUCUACUGGAACAUAACUGACGCUGAGACGCGAAAGCGUGGGGAGCAAACAGGAUUAGAUACCCUAGUAGUC